Molecule: ribosomal RNA, 232 nt
Filed under: uncultured bacterium
Lineage: Bacteria
Description: partial 16S ribosomal RNA
Rfam family: Bacterial small subunit ribosomal RNA
Source: RNAcentral
CGGGACGGGUGAGUAAUGUCUGGGAAACUGCCUGAUGGAGGGGGAUAACUACUGGAACGGUAGCUAAUACCGCAUAACGUCGCAAGACCAAAGAGGGGGACCUUCGGGCCUCUUGCCAUCGGAUGUGCCCAGAUGGGAUUAGCUAGUAGGUGGGGUAACGGCUCACCUAGGCGACGAUCCCUAGCUGGUCUGAGAGGAUGACCAGCCACACUGGAACUGAGACACGGUCCAG